GAAGGGGGGGGGCAAAGCCCGUUCGGAGCCUGCGCUGGGCUCCUGGUACGAGGAGGAAAGUUUUUCAAAGCUCCCCUCCCCCUCCCCGACGUGCAUGUACAACUUGGUUGUGAUUAGAAGGCGGGGGAAGGGCCCGCGCUCCUUUGUGAGUGCUGGAAUUAUGCAAUGGGUGGUGACAUCAUUUGCUGCACCCACUUUGGGCUACUGCCCCCCCCUCCCCCAGCUCAGCCUGCACUGAACUUUUGCAAAACGGCCCGGGCGGGAGCUGUGUCUUUGCAGCAGGCUCCGCGAGUGCCCAGAUCCCCCGCCCCCCAGGAGCGGGGCACAUGGAUUGAAACACGACAGACUGACUUUUAAAAAAACAACCCGUAAACUUGUUUAUCUGCUCUUUGCAUCAGGAAAGCAACACGUUUGCAAAAGCUGAUCAGUUUCCCCUCUGAAGUUCUGAAAUGGAAGACUAGCCUGAAUGGAAAUAUUAAACUCUUAAUUUCUUUCCUACAUAUUUCCAUUUGUCCUUCAUCACCUCCUCGUCCUUUUUACAAUUUCAAUGCAGAGAACCACAGCUUGCAAAAUUGGAAUUGGACAUGUACUGUCAUAUUGUUUGGGCCGGGGGCAAAGACUCCAGCACAGGGAACUUUAAACUGAUCUCUAACUGGUCUCAUAACCAGUGAACACUUUAUUUCAACGUGCUUGCCUCAGAUGGACCUGCAAGAAUUGCAUGCCUCAGUACAUUGUUAAAAGAUAGAGGAAAAAUCCUUAGUCCUUACUCUGAUUAACUCCCAGUGACUAUAAUGAGUGGUUAGCCUAAGGGCCAAGUUUAAACCAAAUAAAGAUUCAGGAUUUGGAG
Long non-coding RNA from Chrysemys picta bellii (western painted turtle), 847 nucleotides. RefSeq lists it as uncharacterized. The record is from RefSeq and is a predicted model, not a curated record. NCBI's taxonomy places the organism in Eukaryota, Metazoa, Chordata, Testudines, Emydidae.